RNAcentral lists this unclassified non-coding RNA (2799 nucleotides) under Ooceraea biroi (clonal raider ant). RNAcentral describes it as "uncharacterized LOC113562768, transcript variant X2". Lineage: Eukaryota; Metazoa; Arthropoda; Insecta; Hymenoptera; Formicidae. The record is from RNAcentral.
AAUAUAUUUUUUAAUUGUUGCAAUAGAUGCGACGAAAUAUAAUAAUACGUGCUGUAAUUGAUCUAUUUUGCAUCAAACUUAAACUACGAAUUUGCAUUUUUUUAAAUUUGUCAAUUAUUUUUGAAUUUUAGUAUAGACAUUAGUUAGUGAAACACAUUUUCCUCUCCCAUAAGUCAUUGAUACAAUAUUGCAAUGCGUAAUUUAGAAGUAAUUUGUAAUUUAAAAUAUGGCAUCAAACAAAAGAUAUUGUCUUUUAAAUAUAUAUGUAUAUAUUUAUUUGCGCGCCCAAUCAAAGAUGUAAUACUGAUAAAUAUCAGCAUGCCUAUAUUACAUGAUUAGACGUACUACAAGAAUAAACUUUUUACCUGAGUUAAACAACAAGUAGAUGAAUGACAGAUAAGUAAUGAAUAAGAGAUACAGUCAGGAACACGUGCACAUGCUGCAUGCUAUUUCACAUCGACGUGCACGCAUCAGUCGCACAAGAUCUACUAAGUCCUGAGGCAUCGAGAAGGUAUAGCUGCCUAUAGCGCUGGCGUUUACAUAAUUGGAGAGCGAAAUAUGUCUAUAUAUUUUCGUUAUUACGCUCAAUUUACUUAUUUCGUGAAAUGUGUUUUAAGUAUAGCAAAUAUCGGUACUUCCACAUUGUUCGGUGCAUCUACAGUAACAUCUAUUUUUCAUUGUAUAAUAAAGGAAAAUGAUAGCAAAGUAUAAAAUUAUUCUUUCUCUUGUCUCGUCUUAAUAAUAGUAAAGAGACACUAGAAGUUUGAUAAAAAAGAAAACCUUUAGUAUAUUUGCCGGAACAUUUGUCAACCAUUUUUCUCACAAAGCGUCUCCGUUCGUCGCGCAGAAUGGUAUUUGUAGGUGAACGCUGUUAUAAGAUUCAUCGAAUUAUGUUUAUGAUUAUGGGAUUCUGGCCGUAUCAGAAACCAUUUAUCUGGCGAAUGCAAGCAGUUUUCUUUUUCAGUGCAUAUUGCUGCAUUAUAUUUUCAAAGUUUGCGGCCUUUUUUACGACAACAUGUAACAUGGACUGUAUCUUAAAAAAAUUUACUUAUAUUUGUGUAACUUCUUGUUUUGUUUUGUGUUACUGUUCUUUCUAUUGCAAUUCUGAAUUUAUAAAGCAAGCGUUGAAACAUAUGCAAUUAGAUUGGAAAAUGUUUGAAAAUAGUGACACAAUUAAAAUAUUUGAAGAAUAUCUCUUCCUAUCUUAUAUUUUCGCAUUAUUUGCGAUUAUGAUUGUUCCUACAUGUGCAUCCGCGCUUAUGGCUAUUGAAUGUAAACCUGUCAUUCUUGAUGCUAUUAUACCGUUGAAUACAUCCCGACCACGUAUAAUUGAAGUUGAUUAUGAAUUGUUUCUUGAUAAAGAGGAAUAUUUCUUUUUGUAUGUUAUGCAUGAGGUACUAGGAACGACAAUUGGCUUUUACUCGAUACUGGUAGUUGCAACAUGUUGCGUUUUGAUUGUGAGACACAGCUGCGCAACACAUAAAAUUGCAAGGGUAGUUUACAUAAUGAGGACGCCGUGGCGUAGUUGGUUAGUGCAGAGAUCGCUACUCAAAAGACUCGAGUUCAAAUUCCGCCAUACCAUGAUGGAUUUUUACGGACGGUCCUCCCUCGGAAGGCAAUAGCAAACCACCGAGGUACUUUGCCAUGAGCAUUCCUCAAAAAUAGAAGUGCUUUCGAGAACUUCUGGCGGUUCGGAAUCCGCCUAAAAAUAUAGGUCCUCUAUGCUCGUGUAUAAUCUGCACAUCGCGAGUAUAGAAGAGGAAUCACCACGCUCUGACAAAGAGCAAUAGGACUAAGAAGAAGUGUAUAUAAUAUCUUUAUUAACAAUGAUGCUACGGUCGAUUCAUAUAAAUCGCUUUCAGUUGUAUAAUACAAAAUACGGCGAUUGCCCACACGCUGCAAAUUCCUGUUACUCAAGAGAUACAAUUUAUACAUCGAAGCAUUUCUUUUUCUGUUUACCUUCACCGCAGAACUUUGAAGUUAGUUUUCAUACAAGUUAAUAUUUUUCUUAUUCAUCGUAUUAAUUGUUAACAUUCACCUUUGUCUGCAUUUGCAGUCAGGAAUUUAUAGUUUUGAAAAUAAUUAGACGUAAUGUUACUAACUAUAUAUUUUGUUACAUUACAGGUUAAUGAAAGACUUCAUGCAUGCGGUCAAUUUGUGGUAUUUUCCAUUAGUUGUAAUUUGCAUACUGUGUUUAAGUUGCCUUCUACUUCGCCUCUACAAUGCUAUAACAGACACCAAUGAUUUGCAUAAUACUUUAGUGUGCUGUGUGCUUUUGUAUACUUGUUUCAUGUAUAUGUUUAUUACAAGUUUUCUUGUACAAUCAUAUUCUGAACACAGUAUAUUGAUAUUAAAAUCUACGUAAGUAAUACUAAUAGUAAUAAUAACUAAUUCCGUAUAUUUUAUGAUAUAAAUAGUAUAUCAGAUAAUUUGUUUCUAAUUCGUUUUUACACUAAUACUUAUUCGUGCAAAUAUAAAUAAUAAUAUACAGGGUGUCUCACGUAAAAUGUCCAAUCCCUCUGCUGCAAGUAGAUCUCAUUAAGGUGAAUUAAAAAGUCUAUACCAUUUUGCAAUUAACCACAUAAAUUUCGAGUAAUUAAGUAAAGAAAGUUCGCUAAUUCAGCGAACGCGAUUGGCAGCGAGGGAAGUAGGUAGGCGUGAAUGACACGGCUAGUCGCGCGCGCGACGCGAUACCAGCGAGUAUCGGAUUACAGCGGCAGGCGAGACGACUUUUUAUGAUGUAUAAGAAACGGCUAGUCGCGCGCGCAAGACGCGAUAACAGCGAGUAUCGGAUUACAG